Carassius auratus (goldfish) is the source of this 440-nucleotide long non-coding RNA. RefSeq lists it as uncharacterized. NCBI's taxonomy places the organism in Eukaryota, Metazoa, Chordata, Actinopteri, Cypriniformes, Cyprinidae. The transcript is spliced from 3 exons. The record is from RefSeq and is a predicted model, not a curated record.
CAUAAAUUUACCGACGCCAGAGCAAAGAGUUUGAAGACAUAGCCAUUGCCUUUUUUUCACCAAAUGAAUUUCCAUGAUCGUGUUGUUUACAUUUGGCGUCGUAGCUUGUCAUUGAACACAUUUUAAAGACUCUCAAUCUGACGGCACCCAUUCACUACAGAAAAUCCAAUGGUGAGCCAGUGAUGGAAUGAUACAUUUCUCCAAUUUUGUUCCGAUUGGAGAAACAAACGCAACUACAUCUUGGAUGUGUCCAUACAAUGUUGAUGCUACCCUGGAUAUUGACUGUUUUUUACACCAAGAACCACUACCACAAAAUCAAGUAAAUAGAGUUUCAUCUCUCUCUAUCAGAUUUUGUUUGUUUAUUUAUCUAUUUCACUGUUUCCUCUAUUUUACUGUUGCCAUACAAAUCUGUAUGCUAUUUCAUGAGCUUGCUUUGAAUU